GCCUUCGUGGUGUAAUGGUCAGCACGCUCGACACCUAUUCGAGAGAUCUGAGUUCGAGUCCCCGAGAGGGCA
RNAcentral lists this transfer RNA (72 nucleotides) under Stegodyphus mimosarum. It matches the Rfam family "tRNA". From Rfam's summary of the family: Transfer RNA (tRNA) molecules are approximately 80 nucleotides in length. Their secondary structure includes four short double-helical elements and three loops (D, anti-codon, and T loops). The record is from Rfam by way of RNAcentral. Lineage: Eukaryota; Metazoa; Arthropoda; Arachnida; Araneae; Eresidae.